Molecule: non-coding RNA, 105 nt
Filed under: Paramoeba aestuarina
Lineage: Eukaryota; Discosea; Flabellinia; Dactylopodida; Paramoebidae
Source: RNAcentral
GAUUUAUUUGGAGGAGGAAAUCUUGCGGUUAGUUUGAUAGAGUUCCCAUGGAGAAGACAAGGGGGAGUAUCCUUUUCGUUGUGGGUUUUAGCUUGUAACCAGAUU